UACGUAGGGAGCAAGCGUUAUCCGGAUUUAUUGGGUGUAAAGGGUGCGUAGACGGAGAAGCAAGUUAGUUGUGAAAUCCCUCGGCUUAACUGAGGAACUGCAACUAAAACUACUUUCCUUGAGUACUGGAGAGGAAAGUGGAAUUCCUAGUGUAGCGGUGAAAUGCGUAGAUAUUAGGAGGAACACCAGUGGCGAAGGCGACUUUCUGGACAGUAACUGACGUUGAGGCACGAAAGUGUGGGGAGCAAACAGG
RNAcentral lists this ribosomal RNA (253 nucleotides) under uncultured bacterium. Its description in RNAcentral is "partial 16S ribosomal RNA". It matches the Rfam family "Bacterial small subunit ribosomal RNA", at positions 524 to 776 of the family's 1533-position model. The record is from RNAcentral.